AGCACAUGGUCCUUUCCAAACUUUUAAUAAAAAUCUCCCUCCUUUGGACUCUGUUUCUUGUAAUUUAGGGCCCCGUGUAACAAUAGGCAGUUGUCCUACAGUCUGGUGGACACUAAGCUCCUCAAUGCUUACAGAACCCUGGAAGGUUACAAGACAGAGUGGGAAGGAGGCAGAGCAGUUUUCCUAGGUGCAGGGACCUGGGAGGCAGCAUGUAAGAAGUAGCAGGGUUAUACACUGCAUGUGGUUUUGUACAUGAAGACAGUUGGUCAUAACCAAGUAAGAAGACCCAGUACACGCUGCACAUUGAAAUAGCCACUUGGCAACUUUGCUUGACUGGGAGUGAUAUCCAAAUCAUUGGUUCAUGGAUGUAAGUACUAUGCAAACUGAUGAUCCUAGAAGGCAGAGAAUAAAGAAAAACUGCAUGAGGAUGAGAAAGUUGAACUGCUUCCCCCUCCCCCAAGCCUGCUCUUUUCCUUUUUAGUCCUACUUCAGGUAAGACACAAUAAGUACCUCUAUUAUGAUUCUAGAGGAGGGGAGAGGAAAAACCUAGAGCAAAAUCCAGAGAUAC
RNAcentral lists this long non-coding RNA (568 nucleotides) under Vulpes vulpes (red fox). Its description in RNAcentral is "lncRNA (ENSVVUG00000009351.1)". The record is from RNAcentral. Lineage: Eukaryota; Metazoa; Chordata; Mammalia; Carnivora; Canidae.